UACGGCGAGUGAGCGGGAAGAGCUCAAAUUUGAAAUCUAGUAGCCUUCGGCUGCUCGAGUUGUAAUCUAGAGAAGUGUUUUCCGUGCCGGCCCAUGUACAAGUCCCUUGGAACAGGGCGUCAUAGAGGGUGAGAAUCCCGUCCUUGACAUGGACCCCCGGUGCUCUGUGAUACACUUUCAACGAGUCGAGUUGUUUGGGAAUGCAGCUCAAAAUGGGUGGUGAAUUCCAUCUAAAGCUAAAUAUUGGCGAGAGACCGAUAGCGAACAAGUACCGUGAGGGAAAGAUGAAAAGCACUUUGGAAAGAGAGUUAAACAGUACGUGAAAUUGUUGAAAGGGAAACGAUUGAAGUCAGUCAUGCUCUUUGGUAUUUAUAUCAUUGAGUGGGGUCAACAUCAGUUUUGAUCGAUGGAUAAAGGCACUAGGAAGGUAGCACUCUCGGGUGAACUUAUAGCCUAGCGUCAUAUACAUUGAUUGGGACUGAGGAACGCAGCAUGCCUUUAUGGCCGGGAUUCGUCCACGUACAUGCUUAGGAUGUUGACAUAAUGGCUUUAAACGACCCGUCUUGA
RNAcentral lists this ribosomal RNA (567 nucleotides) under Naganishia liquefaciens. RNAcentral's name for it is "LSU rRNA". It matches the Rfam family "Eukaryotic large subunit ribosomal RNA", at positions 85 to 657 of the family's 3401-position model. Lineage: Eukaryota; Fungi; Basidiomycota; Tremellomycetes; Filobasidiales; Filobasidiaceae. The record is from RNAcentral.